RNAcentral lists this unclassified non-coding RNA (218 nucleotides) under Glomus sp. RNAcentral's name for it is "partial contains 5.8S ribosomal RNA and internal transcribed spacer 2". The stretch from base 1 to 71 matches the Rfam family "5.8S ribosomal RNA", at positions 84 to 154 of the family's 154-position model. The record is from RNAcentral. Lineage: Eukaryota; Fungi; Glomeromycota; Glomeromycetes; Glomerales; Glomeraceae.
GUGAAUCAUCAAAUCUUUGAACGCAAAUUGCACUCUCUGGUAUUCCGGAGAGUAUGCCUGUUUGAGGGUCAGUUUAAAUAAAAAUCGGUGUGGUUGCUGCCUUUCGUGGUGACGCACCGGAUGUGGGUCGUCUUGCCUUCGGUUAAGUGACCUAAAAUUUUCCAUGAUUUUUUCGAAAGUAUUUAAUUACUUUUCCGUCCGUUUCCACUUUCUAAUAC